Molecule: long non-coding RNA, 4489 nt
Organism: Phyllostomus hastatus (greater spear-nosed bat)
Lineage: Eukaryota; Metazoa; Chordata; Mammalia; Chiroptera; Phyllostomidae
Exons: 4
Source: RefSeq, a predicted model, not a curated record
GUGAUUUUUGACUUGGGGUGUGGAAAAGUUACAAAAUGAACUGGAGAGCUAUCAUUUAGUAAUUGGGAACACACUUUGUUUAUUUAAGUAGGACUAAAUACUGCGGAAGCAAGUUUUUGCUAAAAUUAGACACUGAGAUAGGUUCAAUAGCAGCGCCAGUUGUAAUCCUUUAGAAAGCACAGUUUGUUGGUUCACAUCAGGACAUGAGGCCAUUAUAUCACAGCUGUCUCCACUGCAGGACAGGAAAGUUACUGAAGCUGGAAUUACUUCCACCUAAAGGUCAGCUGGGGGCUGUACUCUGUGCAGCUUCACCCAGGGACCUAGACCGUCUGGCAUGUGGCUCAUCUCAAUGGCAGAGGGAGAAGACAGAGUGGUCAAUUGCAUAUUGGCUCUUAAAGCUUAUGCCUGAAAGUGACACAGGACACUUCUACUCAUAUGUCACAGGACAAAGCAAGUCACAUGGCUGCACCCAACUUCAAAAGCUCUGAAACUGGAUAUGCCGUGCAACAUGUUCUUCAGCUGGUCAGGAAACCAAGCGUUUUCUGAAGGGCUGGCUGAGCUUGUGUAAUCUGCCAGCAUCUGUGGGCCCACAGUGGUGGGAGGCACAAGGACAUCAGGAUUCUCCACAUGAUGACAUGGUUGUAACCCUGGCGCGGCCUGCGCUCCAGUCCCUAACAAGAAGGACAUUGGAUUCAAGUGGAGAACCCUGUUUUCUAGCUAUGACCUAGGAAGGGUCUGACCCCAGAGAGGGGGGGAGACCUGCCAGCCAGGUCCCUGCCAGCCAGGCCCCUGCAAGCCUCGGUGCUGGCACCGCCCUGGACAGGCCCUUUAGGCAGAGUGCUGGGCUCCCAGUUCCAAGGCCGGGGAGAAAAGCUCAGGCCUGUCGGACCUGGAGGCCAUAUCUGCCUCACUGCGGCAGAUCCCUGGGGGAAGCAGAGAGGCUGGAGGUGGAGGGAACCCAGGGGGGUUUCUGGCUCAGAAUCUCUUUCGGAGGCCCACGGUACAGAUGCCCAGACUCCUGUAUAUUUUUGUUUGAUUUCCACCCGCUGGUAGGUUCUUUCAUACUUUGCUGAGGGGAGUGUAAUCUGUACAAUUUGGUAGAAACUAUUUGAAAAGCUUAUGUCCUUUGACGUUGCAAUUUCACUUCUAAGAAUUUCCUCUACAGUGAUGGGUGCAUAUCAUGUGAAAUGAAGCGGCCACAAAGCUGGGCAAUGCGGCGAUGUUUAUAAUAGUGAAGACUAGAAACAAGCCACAUGUCCAAAGAGGUUCUGACUUUUUAAAGAACGGUUGUCCCGUUGUACGGUGAACACUCAGUGUCUUUUAAGAAAGACCGAGGAAGUGCUGUGUGAACGCAUGUGGAACCAUCUCCGAGAUUUACUGCGAAGUUAAAGGAAGGAAAGAGCAGAGCGCGCGACAGAGCACAUUGCCCUUUGUCCCAUCUGAGGCUGCGUCUGCCGCGAGGUCGGACUUCCAGAGCAGCAGCUGCCUCCGAAAAGGGAGCUGGGGGCUGGGAACAGGGGCAAUAGGGAGACUUGCUUUUCAGAGCAUUUUAUACCUUGUGCCAACUGGCUAUAUAUCUAUUAAAAGAUUUAAGGAAAAAGAAAAAGGGAAAGCUCCACUAGUGAUUCUGAUGUUCACAGAGAUUAAGAAACGAUGUGUGAACGUGGCACUGCUGAGACCACCCAGGAGCGUAAACAUGUCCCUUAAAAUAUAAAAGACCAAUCCGCGGAGAGCAAGAACAUCUCCCUUGGGGGGUGCGGGGUGAAUGCAAGCCAGGAACACAGGCUAGUCCCAAGUACACACAGCUAGGCUGAAACUAGCCCGGUUCUGACUCACUCUGAGCUGACUCAAGAGACAGUAAUUUUUCAUUCUCUGGGAUCUCACUGCCCUUUGAGCUAUGAGCUAUGGUUCUUGCUCUCGGGUUCUGACCCCACCUUUCUUCAAAUCCCUCUGUCAGUUUUCUCUGCCCAAAUCUGUCUCUUUGGCUUCCUUUUUGCCCCCUUGUACCUGAGACCUUUCUCUACUCCUCUACUCUACCCCAGGGUAGCCUGGUUUUGCAGAUCAGAUCUUAUACUGGUGGCAGCAGACUUGACAUCCCAUGUGACAAGGCUCCCAGGUAUCCCAUUCACAGAAUUCCCCACUCUCUUUCCCUUCCCUCUCUCCCCCUUUCUUUCCAUCACCCCCCUGAGGUGUCUCCAACUCUUUGCCCAUGUUUGCUCCCAGCAUCCUUUUGCUCCCUCCGCACACCCUGACUUUAUUCAUUUCUUGAAACAGGGUCUGUGACUCCUCUCAACACUACUUUCUGAUCUCAGAGUUCAUUAAAAAGGUCCUUUGCUCCCCCCAUCCCCAACCCACCUUCCUGCUGGACCGUGAGACCCCUUUUGGCCUGUGUGGAAACAGCAGAUAUUCACAGUUAACUGUGGCUGCUGUCGCCCAGAUGGGCUUACCCUGACUCAACACAUUUCUAGGAUGUGGGAAAAUGUGCCAUAUUUAAAGGCAUAGGCUCCAGAUUCAAACCUCCCAGGUCUGAGUUAUUUCUCUGUUGGCUGAAUGAUUGGGCGUGUGACCUUGCAAAAAUUACUUAACUUCUCUGGGCCUCAUUCUUCUCAUCUGGAAAACAGGGAAAAUAACAACACUUCCCCCUUAGGUGUGUGUGAGGACAAAAGAAUAUGUUAACAUAGUGCUGACUGCAGGGCCUGGACUGUAUCAAGCUCUCAAAAAAUAAAUAAUACAUAAGCUAUUUCGUUAUUAUCUUUACAACAAAUGACUGGGCUUUGGAACUCUUUCUACACUACGUUUGCUGGUUUUAUACCUGGAUGCUAACAAUGGUGUAUGAACCUAAUGUUUGGAGAUCUUAUCUUUUUGAACUGAUGUGCAUUUCUGACAUAUUUGAUACAUAUCAUCCCACUUGGUCCUUAAACCAAUUUGGGCCAUGGGCCUAUGUCAGACCAUGGGGCCAGCUUUGGCCUGGGGGCUGUGGUUUAUUUACUGAACUCUGAUAUUUGAUUUUAUGCUGUUAAAUCAAAAUAUAAACCUUGUGAAAUGGAUCUGCUUAAGCAACCUUGCACUUUGUUAAUAAUAGUUGUUUAUAUUUACUGAAUAUGUACUAUGUGCCAAAUACUGUUCCACGUGUUUUGCAUGUAUUAACUUAUUUCAUCCUCACAGCCACUGUCUUUGAUAGCUGCUGUCUGUACCAUUUUACAGAUGGGGAAACUGAGGCACAGGGAGGUUAAGUAAAUUUCCCAAGGCCACAUGGCCAGCAAGGAGCAUAGAUGGGAUUGAAAUACAAGCAGGUCAGCACCAGAGCCUGUGCACUUAACCAUUUUGUAUCUCGUUCAGAAGCAUUAAGUUGUACAGCAAUUUGGUGGGGAAAAAGGGGUUGGGGGGAGCCGAGUAACCCGUAGAAGCUUCUGGAACAAAUGUGUUUAGAACCAUUCACCUUGAAGGUGAGGAGGUGUGAAAACAGGCCGCCUGUGUUGCAUAAAGAACGGCCAGGCUGGGAACCUGUGGGGGCUUCCCUUCAUGCUGGGACGGCGGAGGAUCCGGAUGAGACUGCAGAGGCAUCCUGAUUGGAGCAAGGCACUUGAUUGGAUCUCAUUAAAUUUUAAUCAUAAACUGAAUUCAAAAUAAAUUGAAAACUAGUUGACAGAGCACAAACAAAGGGUGAUGAUAAAUGGUGAUGCAUCUAGAGAGGGGAUAGCUUCCAGGGGACGCCUCGGAGGCAAGGACGGAAGGGAUUUAAUGAAGGUGUUGUGUCCCUGGAAGAAGACAAAUAGCAGAGUGAGAAACAGAGGAAGGGCAGCAGUGAGCAGCCUGAGUAAUUAAUAAACCACAUCACCAGCUCCGAGCAAUCAAGGCUUGCGGCUGUAAGCCAGCUGCUUGGAUUUUUUUUUUAAAGUGUUCUUUGGGUCAACAAUAGGGUUGAAGAGUCCUACACAUGCAGCAUGAAUAUUUUCAGGUGAACUUUAAAAAUAAAUAUAUAAACUCAGAGCGAGAAAGAUCCUCAGAUCCAAAUUGGAUCAGACACUUUCAACGACAGAUACUCAAGGUCUUCUUACUUCAUUCCACAGGGAGUAGUUUUCUUAUGUGUCUGAAAGUCAUGGAUUAAAAAACUCUUUAAACUCAUUAAUGUUCUUUGUUUACUGCCCAAUUGCAUGCAAACUUUCACAACAUCAGUUUGCUUCAUAGAAGUUGGUUUUGAGUGAACUCGUUUGGCCCAGGGUCAAAUUCCAGUGAAGAAAUACUUCCAAGUUUACUUGCAGAAUUUCCCAGACAGAGCAGUUCUUCCAUUUGGUUUGCCAGAGGAUUGGAAGCAAUGGUGAGCCCUGGAGACCAGGGAACAUUUAUUGGCCCUUGUUCAUACUGUGCACAGUAUGACUCACAUCAGGCUAAAGGAAGCAUAGCGUGACCUGACCGGAUUUGAAGAAGGCUGCUCUUGAAGUCCUCUGAGCCAUUACACAAGAAGGGGAUAGACUAAUGGGAAUGAGUC